UGGGGAAUAUUGGACAAUGGGCGAAAGCCUGAUCCAGCCAUGCCGCGUGUGUGAAGACGGUCUUCGGAUUGUAAAGCACUUUAAGUUGGGAGGAAGGGCAGUAAGCGAAUACCUUGCUGUUUUGACGUUACCGACAGAAUAAGCACCGGCUAACUCUGUGCCAGCAGCCGCGGUAAUACAGAGGGUGCAAGCGUUAAUCGGAAUUACUGGGCGUAAAGCGCGCGUAGGUGGUUCGUUAAGUUGAAUGUGAAAGCCCCGGGCUCAAACUGGGAACUGCAUCCAAAACUGGGGAGCUAGAGUAGGGCAGAGGGUGGUGGAAUUUCCUGUGUAGCGGUGAAAUGCGUAGAUAUAGGAAGGAACACCAGUGGCGAAGGCGACCACCUGGGCUCAUACGGACACUGAGGUGAGAAAGCGUGGGGAGCAAACAGG
Molecule: ribosomal RNA, 429 nt
Filed under: Pseudomonadota bacterium
Lineage: Bacteria; Pseudomonadati; Pseudomonadota
Description: Proteobacteria bacterium partial 16S ribosomal RNA
Rfam family: Bacterial small subunit ribosomal RNA
Source: RNAcentral